CGUAUCAUUGUGCUCCGCCUGCCUGCGGGGCGAUAAGUCCUGAUGAAAGGGAUGAUAUGAC
This is a regulatory RNA element of Bifidobacterium reuteri DSM 23975, 61 nucleotides long. It matches the Rfam family "SAM-VI (S-adenosyl methionine) riboswitch aptamer". Rfam says of the family: sixth member of the riboswitch family predominantly found in Bifidobacterium and exhibits some similarities to the SAM-III (Smk box) riboswitch class, but it lacks most of the highly-conserved nucleotides of SAM-III class. SAM-VI aptamers bind the cofactor S-adenosylmethinine SAM (a key metabolite in sulphur metabolism) and discriminate strongly against S-adenosylhomocysteine SAH. NCBI's taxonomy places the organism in Bacteria, Bacillati, Actinomycetota, Actinomycetes, Bifidobacteriales, Bifidobacteriaceae. The record is from Rfam.